GUAUUUUGAAUUGUUUAUUCAUAAUAUUUUUCAGACAAAGAGUUAAAAGAUAAAGGUUGAUGUUUGGUCGAUCUCCAAGAAGAAGAUCGACUGACAUUGCACACAAGGUGGAUAUGGAUUUGUUUAAAAAGCGCCAUAAAACGCUCAUUGUGAAUGAUCCUUCCGCAGGUUCACCUACGGAAA
This 183-nucleotide unclassified non-coding RNA is filed under the name uncultured fungus. RNAcentral describes it as "sequence contains ITS1, 5.8S rRNA gene". Lineage: Eukaryota; Fungi. The record is from RNAcentral.